This 691-nucleotide small RNA is filed under the name Pongo abelii (Sumatran orangutan). RNAcentral describes it as "retained intron". The record is from RNAcentral. Lineage: Eukaryota; Metazoa; Chordata; Mammalia; Primates; Hominidae.
CUUCCUGAAGCCUUAAAAAUUGGGUUCUGCCCCACAGCACCUCCUGGGAAAUAUCCUAAUGGUUUCAGAGAUGUGCUGAGGGAGCUGAUCCGGGAUGAAGGAGUCACAUCCUUGUACAAAGGGUUCAAUGCAGUGAUGAUCCGAGCCUUCCCAGCCAAUGCGGCCUGUUUCCUUGGCUUUGAAGUUGCCAUGAAGUUCCUUAAUUGGGCCAUCCCCAACUUGUGAGUCUGAAGGCUGCUCAAGGCUUCUGGAUGCUGGAAGCUGUCGCUGAGGAGAAGGAGUAGUGGGCAGAACUAAGCAGUCUUGGAGGGCAAGGGGAGGGGAAUGGUGGGAUCAGAGCCCUGUGCAUGGACUUGGUGAGACUGUUGCCUUAAUGACAUCCUGCACCUUGUAUAACUUAGUGUGUCAUUUUGAAACUUGAAUUCAUUCUUAUCAAUUUAAAGGAUCUUAAAAGGAUUUGGAAAUGGAACAAGUAGCUUCUAGACCAGAUACUACCUGUGGCAAGAAUGCUGCCUACCAGUUGACUGCUGGUCCUACCACAGUCAAAGUAUUCCUCAUUAAAGAGAGAAUCUCAGGUUCUCACUGGAGGCACUGUGCAUAUUUUCAACCAGAUCACCAGGAGCUGAGAUCUUCUUCAGUCCCUAGCCAGGAAUACCCAUUUGAUUUCUAGGGUGCCAUCUAAUCCUGGGCU